This 484-nucleotide ribosomal RNA is filed under the name uncultured bacterium. RNAcentral's name for it is "partial 16S ribosomal RNA". It matches the Rfam family "Bacterial small subunit ribosomal RNA", at positions 29 to 523 of the family's 1533-position model. The record is from RNAcentral.
AGUGAACGCUGGCGGCGUGCUUAACACAUGCAAGUCGAACGAGAACGGAUUAUAGCUUGCUAUAAUUGUCAGCUAAGUGGCGCACGGGUGAGUAAUGUAUAGGUAAUAUGCCUCUUACUAAGGGAUAACAAAUGGAAACGUUUGCUAAUACCUUAUACUCCUUAUUAACAGAAGUUAAUAAGGGAAAGAUUUAUUGGUAAGAGAUUAGCCUGUAUUGUAUCAGUUAGUUGGUGGGGUAAUGGCAUACCAAGAAUAUGACACAUAACUGGUUUGGGAGGAUGAUCAGUCACACUGGAACUGAGACACGGUCCAGACUCCUACGGGAGGCAGCAGUGGGGAAUAUUGCACAAUGGACGAAAGUCUGAUGCAGCAACGCCGCGUGGAGGAUGACACAUUUCGGUGCGUAAACUCCUUUUAUAUGAGAAGAUAAUGACGGUAUUAUAUGAAUAAGCACCGGCUAACUCCGUGCCAGCCGCCGCCGUAA